AAGUCGUAACAAGGUCUCCGUUGGUGAACCAGCGGAGGGAUCAUUACCGAGUUCAUGCCCUCACGGGUAGAUCUCCCACCCUCUGUAUACCAUACCUUUGUUGCUUUGGCGGCCCGCAUACUCUGUCUCAGCGUGUUGGCAUCUCCGAGUAUUAUACAAACGAGUCAAAACUUUCAACAACGGAUCUCUUGGUUCUG
This 197-nucleotide unclassified non-coding RNA is filed under the name Dinemasporium japonicum. RNAcentral describes it as "partial internal transcribed spacer region". The stretch from base 1 to 46 matches the Rfam family "Eukaryotic small subunit ribosomal RNA", at positions 1786 to 1831 of the family's 1831-position model. Lineage: Eukaryota; Fungi; Ascomycota; Sordariomycetes; Chaetosphaeriales; Chaetosphaeriaceae. The record is from RNAcentral.